GCUGAGCAUUGUGACAUGUGCCUGUAGUCCCAGCUACUCAAGAGGCGAGGCAGGAGGAUCACUUGAGCCUAGGAGUUCUGGGCUGUAGCAUGCUCUGCUAAUUGGGUGUCCAUACUAAGUUUGGCAUCAAUAUAAUGACCUCUCCAAGCAGGGACCACCAAGUUGCCUAAGUAGGGGUGAAACGGCCAAGGUCAGAAACAGAACAAGUCAAAAUUCCCAUGCUGAUCAGCAGUGGGAUCAUACCUGUGAAUAGCCACUGCACUCCAGCGUGGGAGACAUAGUGAGACCCCAUCUCU
This 296-nucleotide signal recognition particle RNA is filed under the name Propithecus coquereli (Coquerel's sifaka). RNAcentral's name for it is "Metazoan signal recognition particle RNA (ENSPCOG00000005120.1)". It matches the Rfam family "Metazoan signal recognition particle RNA". Rfam says of the family: The signal recognition particle (SRP) is a universally conserved ribonucleoprotein. It is involved in the co-translational targeting of proteins to membranes. Lineage: Eukaryota; Metazoa; Chordata; Mammalia; Primates; Indriidae. The record is from RNAcentral.